UACGGGGGGAGCAAGCGUUGUUCGGAUUUACUGGGCGUAAAGGGCGCGUAGGCGGUCAGCACAAGUCAGUUGUGAAAUCUCCGGGCUUAACUCGGAAAGGUCAACUGAUACUGUGCGACUAGAGUGCAGAAGGGGCAACUGGAAUUCUUGGUGUAGCGGUGAAAUGCGUAGAUAUCAAGAGGAACACCUGCGGCGAAGGCGGGUUGCUGGGCCGACACUGACGCUGAGGCGCGAAAGCUAGGGGAGCGAACGGG
RNAcentral lists this ribosomal RNA (254 nucleotides) under uncultured bacterium. RNAcentral's name for it is "partial 16S ribosomal RNA". It matches the Rfam family "Bacterial small subunit ribosomal RNA", at positions 524 to 776 of the family's 1533-position model. The record is from RNAcentral.